GACGAACGCUGGCGGCGUGCUUAACACAUGCAAGUCGAACGGAAAGGCCUGCAGCUUGCUGCGGGUACUCGAGUGGCGAACGGGUGAGUAACACGUGGGUGAUCUGCCUUGCACUUCGGGAUAAGCUUGGGAAACUGGGUCUAAUACCGGAUAGGACAGCUGUUUAGUGUCAGUUGUGGAAAGUUUUUUCGGUUCAAGAUGGGCUCGCGGCCUAUCAGCUUGUUGGUUGGGUAAUGGCCUACCAAGGCGUCGACGGGUAGCCGGCCUGUGAGGGUGAACGGCCAAAAUGGGACUGAGAUACGGCCCAGACUCCAACGGGAGGCAGCAGUGGGGAAUAUUGCACAAUGGGCGGAAGCCUGAUGCAGCGACGCCGGGUGGGGGAUGAAGGCCUUCGGGUUGUAAACACCUUUCGACAGGGACGAAGAUUUUGUGACGGUACCUGUAUAAGAAGCACCGGCUAACUACGUG
Molecule: ribosomal RNA, 468 nt
Filed under: uncultured bacterium
Lineage: Bacteria
Description: partial 16S ribosomal RNA
Rfam family: Bacterial small subunit ribosomal RNA
Source: RNAcentral